UGUUUAAAUUAUAUAUGAGGUUUAGGUCUAGCUCUUUGUUUGUAUUGUUAUAGAAAAUACCGACAUCUCCACCAAGUAGCCAGUUCCCACAGACAUUGAGAUGGAGGACACAACCCUGACAUCCAUGAUGGUCCCAACCAGUAGUAAGUCUUUAUAUUUCCUGAUGCUAAUUAUUUUAUUUAAUUGUCCUUUUUUUUUAUUGCAGCAGAAAAUGAAAUGGUGUGUAAUAUCAAACACCUGUCAGCUAGUAGAGUGUGCUGGGAUUGUCUGCCAAGUCAUAGGCAAUCAGCAAUGCUUGAAUGGGCUUUGGGGACAGACAACCCAGAUGAGACAAUUGCUGAAGUUGGCAACAUGGUCCUGAAAAGGAAAGAUUUCUGGUCUCUAAGUCUCAAUGAGCAGUUGGAGGCAACAAGUCAGGAAACGGGCAGGAAACAUCACUGCAGAUCCAUCUCACCCCGGACACAACCUGUUCCAGCUUCUCCCCUCUGGAUUACAUUGCAAUGAAAGAUUGCAUUGUUUUCCCUGUACAGUGGAAGCCAUGAUACUGGAUGUUUAAGAAAACAGCUAAAAGUACUCCAGGCACAUGGACGCUACUAAAAAACAAGUGCGACUUUCCAAACAUACAGAUAUGGUCUACUCUUAUUCUUCUAUACUUUGGGGUUUUCUCUGAAAGUAGAGAACCUUCAAGAGGCCCUUCCAAGUGGAGAACAAGCUACGCUUAGCAGCAGUGAGAUGGAGCUCCCUGUAAUCCUACACAUGACAGAAGCUGUGAAAUGGCUCCAUUCCUGCUCAGGAGCCCAGUGGAAGAGCCUCUUUUCCUUACAAUGAGGAGGGCAAGGAAAAGGCCCUUAAAAGUUAUUUUUGCAAGUUUGACAUGACAAAAUGUGUCUAAGUGUGAAUUGUUCAUUUGAGGAAUUAUAAUUAAAUUUUUUGUUGUAUAAAGUUUUAUUGUUUUGUUUAAAAUAACACGUCACCUGGAACUCUGCGUAGGGCAUCAAAUUGGCAAGCUGCAGCCCUGAAGCCACUUCACCUGGUUCACAAUUAUCCCUAACACCUGUCUCUCAUUAUAGUGAUGCGGAGGGGACCAAAAAGGCAUGCCAGAGCAUCAGAAUGAGAGAGAGUGAACGGAAAGCACGACAGACCGGCACAUGACCACGCCUGCACACACACCUGUCAUGUUCCUGGUCAGAAAUGACCAGCCAUUAGGAUGAAGUUACAAAAAAAGAAAAUAAUUGUGUGCAGGAUCCUGUCCCAACUAUUAGAAGACCAUUAGAUUAACUUCUGAACCUUCCUUGACUCCAUAGCAACAAAAGAAUAUUGGGAUAAAUAUAUGACAAUGUGUUUUGGGAACCUUCAUAUUCACACAUUCACACACACAGUUGGCAAACUAAAAUUGGGUAGGAGUUUUCUUGUUCCCAUCAUGCUUUGCAUGGGUCUCGAUAGGGAAAGUAAAUGUUAAAAUGAAGUGUUAUCUUAUGUGUUUUUGCAACAUGAAUGCAAAGGGGAAACUUGUUACUGUUUGAUGUUUUGUAUGUUGCCAUUUAGAAGAGUAUCUGUGAUGUUGGAGUUUUGGGGGUUACCAUUAUGGUGAAGAGUGGAGCUUGAGCUUAGGUUGAGGAAUGGUGUUGACUGUUCAAAUGAUAUACACUGCUUUAUCCAAUAUAAUAUAAUAUAAUAUUUUCUUCAGAGUUAG
Long non-coding RNA from Xyrauchen texanus (razorback sucker), 1693 nucleotides. RefSeq lists it as uncharacterized. The record is from RefSeq and is a predicted model, not a curated record. Lineage: Eukaryota; Metazoa; Chordata; Actinopteri; Cypriniformes; Catostomidae. The transcript is spliced from 8 exons.